RNAcentral lists this long non-coding RNA (441 nucleotides) under Homo sapiens (human). Its description in RNAcentral is "non-protein coding lnc-PPP1R3G-9:11". The record is from RNAcentral. Lineage: Eukaryota; Metazoa; Chordata; Mammalia; Primates; Hominidae.
AGACAGGUGUGGAGGAUGAGAAGCGGGCCACAGGAUGGGAAGGGAAUCUGUGUGGAGGCGGUGCCCUAAACAUGCUGCCUUGAGGAGGGACCUCUACAUGGGGUGGCCGGGCACAGCCAGAUGUCCCUGGAGACAGCGCCAUCUGGUGGAACUUCCUGUAACGAUCGAGAUGUUCCGUCUGUGCCGUCCAACAUGGGAGCCAUGCAGGACACAUGGUGACUGAGCACUGGGACUGUGUGCCGCGUGACCAAGAGCAGCUCAGCUCUAAAGUCUCCUCCAGCUUUAUGAUGUCACUUCCUGUAUCUUCUCUACACAUUCUUUCCUUCAGCCUGUUGUUUGUAAGUUUUUAUGUAGGAAAGUAGAAAAUUCAGAAUAUGUUUCAUCAGGUUUUUGUUUGGCAAAGUGUCAACAUGUUUAUAACAGAGUUAAAGAUAAAGGAAA